Molecule: non-coding RNA, 268 nt
Organism: Cherax quadricarinatus
Lineage: Eukaryota; Metazoa; Arthropoda; Malacostraca; Decapoda; Parastacidae
Source: RefSeq, a predicted model, not a curated record
GGGCUGGACUUUGAAAUGAGCCAAGGAUUGAGCCAGCAGUGAAGGCAGGAGGAGUUGUAAUAGAAGAAAUUUGGCUUCAAGUACAGCAGUGAAGAGCUGUCAAGGUGAGGAGUGUUAGGUGAGGUAGUAUAUUCAAGAGGUCACUCGUGCAACCAUGGGAAAGCAAAACAGCAAGCUUAAACCAGAGGUACUGGAAGAUCUUCGCUCCAAUACAGAGUUCACAGGUGAGCAGCUACACUGACGUAAUACAUUAUUUCAUAUUUAAAAU